This 553-nucleotide small RNA is filed under the name Pan troglodytes (chimpanzee). RNAcentral's name for it is "retained intron". The record is from RNAcentral. Lineage: Eukaryota; Metazoa; Chordata; Mammalia; Primates; Hominidae.
AGAUAAUGAGAAUAAUAGUGAAACAUGUAGAAAGUGAAUUAUGCGACUUAAUUCUUCUAUAGAUUCCUAAUAGGUAGUCACUUAAAAAAAUAUUUGGUCUAUCUAAUUGCUAUUUCUAAGACCAAAUUUGUGGUAAUUUUUUUUCUUUUUAUAGGGACCACUUGUACGGUGGCUGAAAGUGAAUUUUAGUGAAGCAUUUAUUGCAUGGAUUCACGUGAAAGCAUUACGGGUUUUCGUUGAGUCUGUUUUAAGGUAUGGCUUGCCAGUGAACUUCCAAGCAAUGCUACUUCAGCCCAAUAAGAAAACUUUGAAGAAACUGAGAGAAGUAUUACAUGAAUUGUAUAAACAUCUAGACAGCAGUGCAGCAGCUAUUAUUGAUGCUCCUAUGGAUAUUCCAGGUUUAAACCUGAGUCAACAAGAAUACUACCCCUAUGUGUACUACAAGAUUGAUUGCAACUUGCUGGAAUUCAAGUGAAAAUGGGCUCCUCCCCCGACAAUCCUGUCCUUGUGUUUGUGUGUGCUAACGGAAAUAAGUUGCAGUAUGGUCGUACUU